This 207-nucleotide ribosomal RNA is filed under the name uncultured bacterium. RNAcentral describes it as "partial 16S ribosomal RNA". It matches the Rfam family "Bacterial small subunit ribosomal RNA", at positions 568 to 774 of the family's 1533-position model. The record is from RNAcentral.
AGCGCAGGCGGGAAGACAAGUUGGAAGUGAAAUCUAUGGGCUCAACCCAUAAACUGCUUUCAAAACUGUUUUUCUUGAGUAGUGCAGAGGUAGGCGGAAUUCCCGGUGUAGCGGUGGAAUGCGUAGAUAUCGGGAGGAACACCAGUGGCGAAGGCGGCCUACUGGGCACCAACUGACGCUGAGACUCGAAAGUGUGGGUAGCAAACA